GACUCUGGAAUGAGAUCGUCAUCAUCGGAGCAUCCUUAUCUAAGCAUUCAUCCGGAUGUGCACAUGCGAUCGGAUCAAGAGAUCCACACGAUCGAUCCACACGUUUCACCCAAUUCUACCCAACGGCCAAAAUAUAAACAAUACGCAACACGUGAGUCGUGGAUUUUCUUGUGGCCCCCAAAAAGCGAAAGUCUGUCGUGCGAACGAGUCCGCAAUAGAAUGGAUGGAACGAGACGGAGCGCAAGGAAAAUUUGUUUUGCCAAGAGGGAAAAUGGAAAAACUGAUUUAAUCUUGUUUAUUUCGGACACCCAGAGGAAAAUGCGCCCUGUCUGCGAUUCUGAAUUUCCUAUUGACAAGCCAUUCGAAAGAUGUCCCAAGGAAGAGAGAUAUGUAUCCGAAUCGGAAAUCCGUGCGUCCUUCUGAUGCCAAUGGGAGGUCAAAGUGCCGAAAGAGAGAUGAUGACCAGAUAGAGAAGAGUUCGAAUCGGGAAGGUGGACCAGACCUGUUCGUUCUGGAACGGGGCAGUUUGGACCCAACAUUCUGUGAGUCUGGUAAAAAUACACACUCUUCAGUGCUGACGUUGACAUUGGGUGACGUCUCUUUCGACCAAAUGGCUAUCUGCCCUAAAUAUACAUAUAUACUUCUAUAUCCACCAGAUCGGUGCGUGAUGUCGGGCCAAGUGAGCCGAAAGCUCGUGCAGUCAGUCUGCUGAACUCGAAUACGGAUUUGGAUGCCAUUCGGACAUUCCUGAACCGGACGGACACGUGCGACUUGGCCAGUAGCGAGUAGCUAGUAAUUCCCCUGCAAACGGGCCAUAUUUAUCGGGGGUGCUGGUCCAAUUCGAAUUAGCAUGCAAAUACGAGGAGAAACAACGGCCAAGUGAAAAAAUAUUCCCACAAUUUAAAUGCAAAUUUUGAGUAAACAAAACCAGGCGCACAAUAUUUACUUGUGUGUUAUUUUCCAUGCUGAAUAUGAAAUGAUAUAUCAAUCAAAUUAUAUGUAAAUACGGGUAUUGCAACAGUUCUCCGCCCCUAAUUGCAAAGCGCGAUCGCCGGUACAGUCUGCAUGGCGAAGGGUCAACGCUGCGAUAACGAUAACCCAAUCGGUGGCUCCACCCCCUCCACACUACGCAAUUC
This is a long non-coding RNA of Drosophila santomea, 1136 nucleotides long. RefSeq lists it as uncharacterized. The transcript is spliced from 3 exons. Lineage: Eukaryota; Metazoa; Arthropoda; Insecta; Diptera; Drosophilidae. The record is from RefSeq and is a predicted model, not a curated record.